UGUCCCGAAAAAAAAAAAAAAAAAAAAUUCUGUGUCCCGAAAAAAAAGAAAAAAAAAAAAAAAUUCAGAAACCACAAUUCUGACCGAUGGGCGCCAGCAAGCAACCAGCUUCAGAACCACAGACAGACGCGAGUUGUGGCGGACAGCUGACGUUUUGGAGAAAGAUGUCUGAUUUAAGUGACUUUUUACGUGCCAGAGGAGUCCCCGAAGCUUCUAUUGCACUAAUGGAAGAACAAAAGAUUGAUAGAAGAAUUUGCAGAAGACUUGGGCUGUUUAGAAGAAAGAAUCAGUCCGACCUUGAAGAAGUGCUGGCCUUUAUCCAACAACAAAUAAUGACUAAUGGACAAAUGCAAGGUUAUCGGUGGCUACAUCUUCGUGCGGUUCAACAUGGAUUGUGGUGUCACAAGACACUGUGAGACAUUUGAUCAAAUUGUUUGACCCAGAAGGUGUGGAACUGAGACGAGCACGACGGUUGAGAAGACGUCAGUACAAUUGCAGAGGACCAAAUGCACUCUGGCUACGAUAAACUAAAACCUUAUGGCAUUGCUAUCAGUGGCUGUAUAGAUGGUUUUAGCCGACAUGUUUUAUGGAUGGAGGCUUAUACCACGAACAAUGACCCCAAAUUGAUUGCAAGUUACUAUUUGAAAACAGUUUCAUGCGUCAACGGAUGUUCAGAGAGGAUACGUGCCGACAGAGGCACAGAAAACAUUUGUGUUGAACAAAUGCAGAUAUUUCUGCGGCAAAACCACACAGACAGUUUUGCAGGGGACAAAAGUUUCCUUUACGGAAGAAGUACAUCCAACCAGCGCAUAGAAGGCUGGUGGUCGACCCUCGGCAAACAGUGCACAGUUUUGGAUGAACUUAUUUCAAACCUUUCUGGAUGAUGGUCACUUUACAGGAGACUUUUUGGAUAAAAGCCUCAUCCAAUUCUGCUUUCUUAAUCUUAUUCAGGUAGAAGUGUUCACUGGUUCACUGUAAUGUUUUUGUUUUAAAAAGUAUUAAAAGCAAAUCUGCUGGUAUGUUUACUAGAAAUAAUAAAAGCUCUUCAAAGUAUUUAGCCACUUUCAGUGCGCAUGAAGAUAAUUUAAAAAGUGUUGCUGUUUAUCUCGAUCAUGCCAUUUGAUAGUUUUUGCAGUGUCUGAUAGGUGCCCUCUAAACAGGACUUCCUGCACUGCAUUUAAUUAAAGACAUAUUGUGUACAAGCAAACAUAACAUUUUUGACAUCAUUCUGCUAGAACAUGAAAGUUUAUUGCUGUCAUAAUUUUAUUGUAGAGUUCUGAUUUGACCUGACAUUAGUCUUCAAGCUGUUACUGUGCUGAUAAAAGUAAAACAUACAGUUUUGUUGACAUGUUUUCAUUUCCCAAUCCAUAGUUUGUUUUGCUUUCACACUGUCAUUUGAAGAAACAACGCUGAUGCAAAGUUAAUUAUUGUUCUAUGAUAAUCAGUUAUGUACCAAAUAUCAAUCCUUUUAAAUGGGUAUGCAUUAUGAUUAAUGAAAAAUAUAUAUUUUUUUCAAACACAAUGCUGUUCUGUUAAACUAAAGAUAUUGACAAUGUAUGGUUGAGAUGUAAACAAAAUGGCAGUACAGCAAGAAUUACGUCAUAAAUUGAACACAUGAAAACCA
Long non-coding RNA from Xiphophorus hellerii (green swordtail), 1624 nucleotides. RefSeq lists it as uncharacterized. The transcript has 2 exons. The record is from RefSeq and is a predicted model, not a curated record. NCBI's taxonomy places the organism in Eukaryota, Metazoa, Chordata, Actinopteri, Cyprinodontiformes, Poeciliidae.